RNAcentral lists this ribosomal RNA (439 nucleotides) under uncultured bacterium. Its description in RNAcentral is "partial 16S ribosomal RNA". It matches the Rfam family "Bacterial small subunit ribosomal RNA", at positions 338 to 795 of the family's 1533-position model. The record is from RNAcentral.
CCUACGGGAGGCUGCAGUGGGGGAUAUUGCACAAUGGGGGAAAGCCUGAUGCAGCGACGCCGCGUGAGUGAUGAAGUCUUUCGGUACGUAAAGCUCUAUCCGCAAGGAAGAAAAUGACAGUACCUGACCAAGAAGCCCCGGCUAACUACGUGCCAGCAGCCGCGGUAAUACGUAGGGGGCUAGCGUUAUCCGGAUUUACUGGGGGUAAAGGGUGCGUAGGCGGUUUCUUAAGUCAGAGGUGAAAGGCUAGGGCUCAACCGGAGAAAGCCUUUGAAACUGGGGAACUUGAGUUCAGGAGGGGAGAGUGGAAUUCCUGGUGUAGCGGUGAAAUGCGUAGAUAUUAGGAGGAACACCAGCUGCGAAGGCGGCUUGCUGGACUGAAACUGACGCUGAGGCACGAAAGCGUGGGGAGCAAACAGGAUUAGAUACCCUUGUAGUC